Phoenix dactylifera (date palm) is the source of this 3491-nucleotide non-coding RNA. NCBI's taxonomy places the organism in Eukaryota, Viridiplantae, Streptophyta, Magnoliopsida, Arecales, Arecaceae. The record is from RefSeq and is a predicted model, not a curated record.
AAGGGGGCGGAGGGAAAAAUUGAAGUUGAUUUAGAAUUGUUAGUAGGAAGAAAGAAAGAUGCGGUGAGGUAGGGGAGAAGGUUGGGUCUUUUUGGAACCCGACUGUCCAAGAAAGCUGCAUUUCUUCUUCCCUCUUCUUCUCGCCUUUCUCUAUCUUUCUCUCUCUCGCCCCAUCGAACGUAGCGAAGAAAGGCACAGCUCUCUCGUCUCCAAGAAAUACCCAUCGGAGGUUUAUACGGCGAAAUAGCGGCGGCGGUGGCGGCUAUUCGGGGGAGGUCUUGCUCGACGGUAGACUGGUUCUCGGUGGAUGGUGGACCGAACGUUGUCUAUCUUUUUGAAGCGAAGACAUGCCGGGGUGUUUUCUUGAGAUCCGGGUGGCGCUUGGUGGGCUCGUAGUGUCGGCGUUGUUGGAUCCCUAGAAGACGACAGAGACGGUGCUCGUUCUGAUUUCUUGGUUCCCAGCUUGAUGGCGGCCACCAAGCGCGCCUACAAGCUACAGGAGUUUGUGGCACAUUCUUCCAAUGUCAAUUGCCUCAAGAUUGGGAGGAGAACCUCGAGGGUUCUUGUCACGGGAGGAGAAGACCACAAGGUCAAUCUUUGGGCUAUUGGGAAGCCCAAUGCCAUAUUGAGCCUAGCUGGCCAUACAAGUGCAGUAGAGUCAGUAUGUUUUGAUUCGUCGGAAGUAUUAGUGGCUGCUGGAGCAACCAAUGGCACAAUAAAGUUGUGGGAUUUAGAGGAGGCAAAAGUUGUUCGCACUCUUACUGGUCACAGGUCAAAUUGUGUAUCAGUUGACUUUCACCCGUUUGGGGAGUUCCUUGCUUCUGGGUCAUUGGAUACGAAUCUAAAGAUAUGGGACAUCCGAAGGAAGAGCUGCAUUCAUACGUACAAAGGCCACACUCGAGGUGUUAAUGCUAUUAGAUUCACUCCUGAUGGUCGCUGGGUUGUUUCUGGUGGGGAAGAUAAUAUCGUGAAGCUCUGGGAUCUGACUGCUGGGAAGCUUUUGCAUGAUUUUAAGUGCCACGAGGGUCAGAUUCAGUGCAUAGAUUUUCAUCCUCAUGAGUUUCUCCUUGCAACAGGCUCAGCUGAUAGAACUGUAAAAUUCUGGGACCUUGAAACUUUUGAGUUGGUUGGAUCUGUUGGGCCUGAGAUUACUGGUGUACGUUCGAUGACAUUCAAUCCUGAUGGGAGAACUCUUCUUUGUGGAUUGCAUGAAACUCUGAAGGUUUUAUCCUGGGAACCAAUAAGAUGCCAUGAUGCUGUAGAUGUUGGUUGGUCUAGACUGUCAGAUCUGAACAUUCAUGAGGGAAAACUUCUUGGAUGUUCUCACAAUCAAAGUUGCGUUGGAGUUUGGGUUGUGGACCUCUCGCACAUUAAGCCAUAUGCAGUUGCUAGUGCUGCAAGGUCAAAUGGUCAUUCGGAAUCAAAAUCCACUUCAAGUGGUAAUUUGUCUUUGCAAGCUGGCAACAAUUUAAAGACAAGUGUGGGGAGGAUAUCAGUUUCACAAAAUUCAGAGCUAGUAGUCAAGGAGGCAAAGCCUGCAGCAGCUACUGGAACCGGCCCUGGCACCCCUCAAAGGAUUGGAAUGAGCGCUGGUGCAAAAGUAACUGCAGUGAAUUCAGCAGCAGCACCUGGUGCUGCUGAAUCUACUGGAACUGGUCCUGGCACCCCUCAAAGGAUUGGAAUGAGCACUGGUGCAAAAGUAACUGCAGCGAAUUCAGCAGCAGCACCUGGUGCUCCAACUCUGAAGAGAAGUUCAUCAAAGACUCAUGGUUCAGCCAAUAUUCAGACUUUCAGCAAGAAUGAUGUCAUACCUGUUAUUGUCCCCAGAACUAACUUGAGAGUGGAGCUGGGCUCUGAUUCUAGAAAAGAAAAUGGCACUGGAAGAACACUACCAUAUAAUGUCCAGUCCAAAUUUUCUGAUUUCCGGCAGUUAUCAAAUAUCAGAGAUGAUUCAGAUAGAAUAGAUACUUUCAUUCAAUCUGGAUUCAUGGGCAAUAAGAACUUUGAAUCAAAUGAAGUUUUGGACCAAGAUUUUCAAUCUACUGGCAGUGGUGUAGAUCCUCCAUUGGGUGCUGGAGAACAUAACCUGGGUGAUGUUAAACGCAGUGUGACUGGGAAGCUGGGAGCGAGUUUGUUGACGGAGCCAAGCACUAGUUACAACCAUGAAAGUUAUAACUUUAGGGCCCAUAAGCCAAGGGAGACAUGCUCUGUGGAAGUUCUAAAAGGAGGUAAAACAAGAUCACUUGUCGCAAGUUGGGAAAGGAGAGAACGAUCUCCUAACUAUGAGAGUCCAACACCCAGCAGUUCUUCUGAGACUAUAACUGCUACUGAUGUCUCAUAUUCUUUGAGGGGGCGCUCUCAAUUUGUUGAAAAGGAAACAAUCUCUGCUAAUGAUGAAGAUGCUAUCAUUGAUCUGAUGGAACGGCACAAACAAUUCCUAGACUCAGCAGAGACUCGGUUGACGAAAUUACAGGUUGUUCACGAACUUUGGGAAAGAAAUGAUUUGAGGGGUCUCAUCAAUGCAGUGGAAAAGAUGUCUGAUCAUGCUGUAGGUCUCUGCUGAUGUAAUAAGCAUUUGGACAGAAAAAAGUGAUAAUGUAUCUCUGGAUAUAUGCAGUGGUCUGCUACCAGUCCUCACUAGCCUUCUAGAGAGUAAGAUGGAUAGGCAUUUAGGGAUUUCCUUGGAGAUGCUGUUGAAGCUUGUCAGAACCUUCGGCCCCGUAAUCUACUCAACUUUAUCAGCUGCUCCAUCCGUUGGUGUGGACCUUCAAGCAGAGCAGAGGCGGGAGCGGUGCAGCUUAUGCUUCAUCGAGCUGGAAAAGGCCAAGCAUAGUCUUUCCACUCUCGCAAGAAGAGGAGGGUCUAUUGCGAAGGCCGCACAGGAGCUGAACCUUGCUCUUCGGGAGGUGCAGGAGGUGCUCUGACUGACUUACAGAUUUGUAUACACAUGCAUAGGGGCUUGUCAUUAUUCAGCGCUGUCAACCCACCAAUGUAAAGCUGCUUAUUAGGAGCUUUUUAGAGAGAGAGAAGGGGGGGGGGGGGGGGGGGGGGGGGGGGGUUGCAUCAGGGCACUGAAGGCCAGCAGCAACAACCAAAGUGUUGCCUGCUUUAUUUAUGCUCGUAAGCUUGCUAGUGGAGCACCAGAAGCUCAAGCAAUGAUGAACAGGGGCUUUGCCGAGUUGUCUAUGUUUGGCAGCAAUAGAACAAGAAGCUCAGAAGGUUGAUGAACUUCUCCAGAACAUAGUGAACUGCUGACCUCGAUAGAGAGAACCCAUGCUGCCCCGUCAUAUGACAGUUGCGUUAGGCCUGUAUCAUUUUUUGUCACAUAGCAUGGUCCUACAAACUUUGUUUUUCUUGAUACUCAAGCCUGGCCCUUCCAGUGUUUGGAUGAGAAGGGCCAGGAGCAACUUAUGUUCAUGUUGCGUUUUCUUUGUAUCUCAAUUACAGGCAAUGGAGAAACUGUUAAUUGAUAUUUCUUAGCAGAAUUUAAA